This 1306-nucleotide ribosomal RNA is filed under the name Salmonella enterica. Its description in RNAcentral is "partial 23S ribosomal RNA". It matches the Rfam family "Bacterial large subunit ribosomal RNA", at positions 1518 to 2802 of the family's 2925-position model. Lineage: Bacteria; Pseudomonadati; Pseudomonadota; Gammaproteobacteria; Enterobacterales; Enterobacteriaceae. RNAcentral also lists the same sequence under 1 other name. The record is from RNAcentral.
GUGUAGGUGUGUGUUCCAGGUAAAUCCGGUUCACUUUAACACUGAGGCGUGACGACGAGGCACUACGGUGCUGAAGCAACAAAUGCCCUGCUUCCAGGAAAAGCCUCUAAGCAUCAGGUAACAUCAAAUCGUACCCCAAACCGACACAGGUGGUCAGGUAGAGAAUACCAAGGCGCUUGAGAGAACUCGGGUGAAGGAACUAGGCAAAAUGGUGCCGUAACUUCGGGAGAAGGCACGCUGACACGUAGGUGAAGUGAUUUACUCAUGGAGCUGAAGUCAGUCGAAGAUACCAGCUGGCUGCAACUGUUUAUUAAAAACACAGCACUGUGCAAACACGAAAGUGGACGUAUACGGUGUGACGCCUGCCCGGUGCCGGAAGGUUAAUUGAUGGGGUCAGCGCAAGCGAAGCUCCUGAUCGAAGCCCCGGUAAACGGCGGCCGUAACUAUAACGGUCCUAAGGUAGCGAAAUUCCUUGUCGGGUAAGUUCCGACCUGCACGAAUGGCGUAAUGAUGGCCAGGCUGUCUCCACCCGAGACUCAGUGAAAUUGAACUCGCUGUGAAGAUGCAGUGUACCCGCGGCAAGACGGAAAGACCCCGUGAACCUUUACUAUAGCUUGACACUGAACAUUGAGCCUUGAUGUGUAGGAUAGGUGGGAGGCUUUGAAGUGUGGACGCCAGUCUGCAUGGAGCCGACCUUGAAAUACCACCCUUUAAUGUUUGAUGUUCUAACGUGGACCCGUUACCCGGGUUGCGGACAGUGUCUGGUGGGUAGUUUGACUGGGGCGGUCUCCUCCUAAAGAGUAACGGAGGAGCACGAAGGUUGGCUAAUCCUGGUCGGACAUCAGGAGGUUAGUGCAAUGGCAUAAGCCAGCUUGACUGCGAGCGUGACGGCGCGAGCAGGUGCGAAAGCAGGUCAUAGUGAUCCGGUGGUUCUGAAUGGAAGGGCCAUCGCUCAACGGAUAAAAGGUACUCCGGGGAUAACAGGCUGAUACCGCCCAAGAGUUCAUAUCGACGGCGGUGUUUGGCACCUCGAUGUCGGCUCAUCACAUCCUGGGGCUGAAGUAGGUCCCAAGGGUAUGGCUGUUCGCCAUUUAAAGUGGUACGCGAGCUGGGUUUAGAACGUCGUGAGACAGUUCGGUCCCUAUCUGCCGUGGGCGCUGGAGAACUGAGGGGGGCUGCUCCUAGUACGAGAGGACCGGAGUGGACGCAUCACUGGUGUUCGGGUUGUCAUGCCAAUGGCACUGCCCGGUAGCUAAAUGCGGAAGAGAUAAGUGCUGAAAGCAUCUAAGCACGAAACUUGCCCCGA